UGAAGCAAGCCGUGGUAGAAUUAGUUUU
Molecule: non-coding RNA, 28 nt
Filed under: Rattus norvegicus (Norway rat)
Lineage: Eukaryota; Metazoa; Chordata; Mammalia; Rodentia; Muridae
Source: RNAcentral